This 492-nucleotide ribosomal RNA is filed under the name uncultured bacterium. Its description in RNAcentral is "partial 16S ribosomal RNA". It matches the Rfam family "Bacterial small subunit ribosomal RNA", at positions 38 to 507 of the family's 1533-position model. The record is from RNAcentral.
AGUGAAAGAGGGGGGGAGGAAGAACACAUGCAAGUCGAACGGCAGCACAGUAAGAGCUUGCUCUUACGGGUGGCGAGUGGCGGACGGGUGAGGAAUACAUCGGAAUCUACUUUUGCUUGGGGGAUAACGUAGGGAAACUUACGCUAAUACCGCAUACGACCUACGGGUGAAAGCAGGGGAUCUUCGGACCUUGCGCGAGUGAAUGAGCCGAGGUCGGAUUAGCUAGUUGGCGGGGUAAAGGCCCACCAAGGCGACGAUCCGUAGCUGGUCUGAGAGGAUGAUCAGCCACACUGGAACUGAGACACGGUCCAGACUCCUACGGGAGGCAGCAGUGGGGAAUAUUGGACAAUGGGCGAAAGCCUGAUCCAGCCAUACCGCGUGGGUGAAGAAGGCCUUCGGGUUGUAAAGCCCUUUUGUUGGGAAAGAAAAGCAGCAGGUUAAUACCCCGCUGUUCUGACGGUACCAAAAGAAUAAGCACCGGCUAACUUCGUG